UACAGAGGUCCCGAGCGUUGUUCGGAUUCAUUGGGCGUAAAGGGUGCGUAGGUGGCGCUGUAAGUGGGGUGUGAAAUCCCGGGGCUUAACACCGGGACUGCAUUCCAUACUGCGGUGCUUGAGGACUGGAGAGGAGACUGGAAUUUACGGUGUAGCAGUGAAAUGCGUAGAGAUCGUAAGGAAGACCAGUGGCGAAGGCGGGUCUCUGGACAGUUCCUGACGCUGAGGCACGAAGGUCAGGGGAGCAAACGGG
This 253-nucleotide ribosomal RNA is filed under the name uncultured bacterium. RNAcentral's name for it is "partial 16S ribosomal RNA". It matches the Rfam family "Bacterial small subunit ribosomal RNA", at positions 524 to 776 of the family's 1533-position model. The record is from RNAcentral.